Non-coding RNA from Populus trichocarpa (black cottonwood), 156 nucleotides. The record is from Rfam. NCBI's taxonomy places the organism in Eukaryota, Viridiplantae, Streptophyta, Magnoliopsida, Malpighiales, Salicaceae.
UUUAGAACUUGAGAUAUGGGCUGAACACCAAAUAGUGUCUAGGUUGCUGUAAAGAUUCAUACUUCUUUUUUGUUGCUAAGAUUUGAACUUGAAAACGACAGCUAUGAAUCUUGGACUCUUCAUAAAUGUUUUAUGCCUAUGUUUUAUCUUUCCAUC